ACCUGUCUGGCUUAGUCAGUGAGCGUGUGACUUUUGAUCUCAGAGCUAUGGGUUCAAGUCCCAUGUUGGGUG
RNAcentral lists this transfer RNA (72 nucleotides) under Mustela putorius furo (domestic ferret). It matches the Rfam family "tRNA". From Rfam's summary of the family: Transfer RNA (tRNA) molecules are approximately 80 nucleotides in length. Their secondary structure includes four short double-helical elements and three loops (D, anti-codon, and T loops). Further hydrogen bonds mediate the characteristic L-shaped molecular structure. tRNAs have two regions of fundamental functional importance: the anti-codon, which is responsible for specific mRNA codon recognition, and the 3' end, to which the tRNAs corresponding amino acid is attached (by aminoacyl-tRNA synthetases). tRNAs cope with the degeneracy of the genetic code in two manners: having more than one tRNA (with a specific anti-codon) for a particular amino acid; and 'wobble' base-pairing, i.e. permitting non-standard base-pairing at the 3rd anti-codon position. Lineage: Eukaryota; Metazoa; Chordata; Mammalia; Carnivora; Mustelidae. The record is from Rfam by way of RNAcentral.